AUUGAACGCUGGCGGCAGGCCUAACACAUGCAAGUCGAGCGGAUGAAGGGAGCUUGCGCCUGGAUUCAGCGGCGGACGGGUGAGUAAUGCCUAGGAAUCUGCCUGGUAGUGGGGGAUAACGUCCGGAAACGGGCGCUAAUACCGCAUACGUCCUGAGGGAGAAAGUGGGGGAUCUUCGGACCUCACGCUAUCAGAUGAGCCUAGGUCGGAUUAGCUAGUUGGUGGGGUAAAGGCCUACCAAGGCGACGAUCCGUAACUGGUCUGAGAGGAUGAUCAGUCACACUGGAACUGAGACACGGUCCAGACUCCUACGGGAGGCAGCAGUGGGGAAUAUUGGACAAUGGGCGAAAGCCUGAUCCAGCCAUGCCGCGUGUGUGAAGAAGGUCUUCGGAUUGUAAAGCACUUUAAGUUGGGAGGAAGGGCAGUAAGUUAAUACCUUGCUGUUUUGACGUUACCAACAGAGUAAGCACCGGCUAACUUCGUG
RNAcentral lists this ribosomal RNA (484 nucleotides) under uncultured bacterium. RNAcentral's name for it is "partial 16S ribosomal RNA". It matches the Rfam family "Bacterial small subunit ribosomal RNA", at positions 30 to 507 of the family's 1533-position model. The record is from RNAcentral.